AACGUAGGAGGCGAGCGUUAUCCGGAUUUACUGGGUGUAAAGCGCGUGUAGGCGGUCCUGCAAGUGGCGCGUGAAAGUGCCCGGCUCAACCGGGCGAGGACGUGACCUAACUGCGGGGCUAGAGGCAGGUAGAGGCGUGUGGAAUUCCGGGUGUAGUGGUGAAAUGCGUAGAGAUCCGGAGGAACACCAGUGGCGAAGGCGACACGCUGGGCCUGACCUGACGCUGAGGCGCGAAAGUGUGGGGAGCAAACAGGAUUAGAUACCCGUGUAGU
This 272-nucleotide ribosomal RNA is filed under the name uncultured prokaryote. RNAcentral describes it as "partial 16S ribosomal RNA". It matches the Rfam family "Bacterial small subunit ribosomal RNA", at positions 524 to 794 of the family's 1533-position model. The record is from RNAcentral.